CUGCGAGUGAAGCGGCAAAAGCUCAAAUUUGAAAUCGGAUGUUUUUGACAUUUGAAUUGUAAUUUGGAGGGAUAUCUUCGGAGCUGGCGCUGUCCUAAGUUCUUUGGAACCAGACAUCAUAGAGGGUGAGAAUCCCGUGCCUGGGUGGCUGUCCAGUUCCAUGUGAAGUGUCUCCGACGAGUCGAGUUGUUUGGGAAUGCAGCUCAAAAUGGGUGGUAAAUUUCAUCUAAAGCUAAAUAUUGGCGAGAGACCGAUAGCGCACAAGUAGAGUGAUCGAAAGAUGAAAAGCACUUUGAAAAGAGAGUUAAACAGUACGUGAAAUUGUUGAAAGGGAAGCGCUUGAGACUAGAUUCGGCCGGCGGUCAUCAGCUACGUUUCUACGUGGUGCACUUGCCGUCGGUUGAGCCAGCAUCGGUUUUGAUGGCGGGAUAAAGGUUUCAGGAAUGUGGCUCCUCAAUUUUGAGGAGUGUUAUAGCCUGGAGCGCAAUGCCGCCUGUCGGGACCGAGGACCGCGCUUUUGCUAGGAUGCUGGCUAAAAGGUCUUAAGCGGCCCGUCUUGAAACACGGACCAAGGAGUCUAACAUCUAUGCGAGUGUUCGGGUGGAAAACCCUUGCGCGUAAUGAAAGUGAACGGAGGUGGGAACCCCUUUGGGGUGCACCAUCGACCGAUCCUGAUGUUUACGGAAGGAUUUGAGUAGGAGCAUAGCUGUUGGGACCCGAAAGAUGGUGAACUAUGCCUGAAUAGGGUGAAGCCAGAGGAAACCUUGGUGGAAGCUCGCAGCGGUUCUGACGUGCAAAUCGAUCGUCAAAUUUGGGUAUAGGGGCGAAAGACU
Molecule: ribosomal RNA, 833 nt
Filed under: Otidea bufonia
Lineage: Eukaryota; Fungi; Ascomycota; Pezizomycetes; Pezizales; Pyronemataceae
Description: LSU rRNA
Rfam family: Eukaryotic large subunit ribosomal RNA
Source: RNAcentral